This 400-nucleotide ribosomal RNA is filed under the name uncultured bacterium. RNAcentral's name for it is "bacterial SSU rRNA". It matches the Rfam family "Bacterial small subunit ribosomal RNA", at positions 355 to 772 of the family's 1533-position model. The record is from RNAcentral.
UGGGGAAUAUUGGACAAUGGGCGCAAGCCUGAUCCAGCCAUGCCGCGUGAGUGAUGAAGGCCUUAGGGUUGUAAAGCUCUUUCACCGGAGAAGAUAAUGACGGUAUCCGGAGAAGAAGCCCCGGCUAACUUCGUGCCAGCAGCCGCGGUAAUACGAAGGGGGCUAGCGUUGUUCGGAAUUACUGGGCGUAAAGCGCACGUAGGCGGACAUUUAAGUCAGGGGUGAAAUCCCGGGGCUCAACCUCGGAACUGCCUUUGAUACUGGGUGUCUUGAGUGUGGAAGAGGUCAGUGGAAUUGCGAGUGUAGAGGUGAAAUUCGUAGAUAUUCGCAGGAACACCAGUGGCGAAGGCGGCUGACUGGUCCACAACUGACGCUGAGGUGCGAAAGCGUGGGGAGCAAA